Molecule: ribosomal RNA, 492 nt
Filed under: uncultured bacterium
Lineage: Bacteria
Description: partial 16S ribosomal RNA
Rfam family: Bacterial small subunit ribosomal RNA
Source: RNAcentral
AGUGAACGCUGGCGGUAGGCCUAACACAUGCAAGUCGAACGGCAGCACAGUAAGAGCUUGCUCUUACGGGUGGCGAGUGGCGGACGGGUGAGGCAUACAUCGGAAUCUACUUUUUCGUGGGGGAUAACGUAGGGAAACUUACGCUAAUACCGCAUACGACCUACGGGUGAAAGCAGGGGAUCUUCGGACCUUGCGCGAUUGAAUGAGCCGAUGUCGGAUUAGCUAGUUGGCGGGGUAAAGGCCCACCAAGGCGACGAUCCGUAGCUGGUCUGAGAGGAUGAUCAGCCACACUGGAACUGAGACACGGUCCAGACUCCUACGGGAGGCAGCAGUGGGGAAUAUUGGACAAUGGGCGAAAGCCUGAUCCAGCCAUACCGCGUGGGUGAAGAAGGCCUUCGGGUUGUAAAGCCCUGUUGUUGGGAAAGAAAAGCAGCAGGUUAAUACCCCGCUGUUCUGACGGUACCCAAAGAAUAAGCACCGGCUAACUUCGUG